ACGUCAAAAUUGAUUAACAAAAAGUCAAUGAAUCAUUCUACCAAUUGACUUGUACUUUGAAGCUUUGAUUUGAACCUGUCAAUUGGUAUCAAAGCUUCUAAAUCUUUGAAGCUCUGAUACCAAAUGAUGGAAUCAAAUUAAAGCUUCAAGGUAGUAGUCAUCUUGGCAGAGAAAAGAAAAAGCACUUCGAGUUUACCAUCUUGAU
Molecule: non-coding RNA, 205 nt
Organism: Arabidopsis thaliana (thale cress)
Lineage: Eukaryota; Viridiplantae; Streptophyta; Magnoliopsida; Brassicales; Brassicaceae
Source: RefSeq